RNAcentral lists this ribosomal RNA (463 nucleotides) under uncultured Klebsiella sp. RNAcentral describes it as "bacterial SSU rRNA". It matches the Rfam family "Bacterial small subunit ribosomal RNA", at positions 339 to 795 of the family's 1533-position model. The record is from RNAcentral. Lineage: Bacteria; Pseudomonadati; Pseudomonadota; Gammaproteobacteria; Enterobacterales; Enterobacteriaceae.
CUACGGGGGGCUGCAGUGGGGAAUAUUGCACAAUGGGCGCAAGCCUGAUGCAGUCAUGCCGCGUGUGUGAAGAAGGCCUUCGGGUUGUAAAGCACUUUCAGCGGGGAGGAAGGCGUUAAGGUUAAUAACCUUGUCGAUUGACGUUACCCGCAGAAGAAGCACCGGCUAACUCCGUGCCAGCAGCCGCGGUAAUACGGAGGGUGCAAGCGUUAAUCGGAAUUACUGGGCGUAAAGCGCACGCAGGCGGUCUGUCAAGUCGGAUGUGAAAUCCCCGGGCUCAACCUGGGAACUGCAUUCGAAACUGGCAGGCUAGAGUCUUGUAGAGGGGGGUAGAAUUCCAGGUGUAGCGGUGAAAUGCGUAGAGAUCUGGAGGAAUACCGGUGGCGAAGGCGGCCCCCUGGACAAAGACUGACGCUCAGGUGCGAAAGCGUGGGGAGCAAACAGGAUUAGAUACCCGAUAGUC